GCUGGGCGUGGUGGCGGGCGCCUGUAAUCCCAGCUGCUUGGGAGGCUGAGGCAGGAGAAUCACUUGAACCCAGGAGGCGGAGUUUGCAUUGAGCCGAGAUUGCACCAUGGCACUCCAGCCUGGGCAACAAAGUGAGACUCUGUCUCAA
RNAcentral lists this small RNA (148 nucleotides) under Pongo abelii (Sumatran orangutan). RNAcentral describes it as "Metazoan signal recognition particle RNA (ENSPPYG00000031973.1)". Lineage: Eukaryota; Metazoa; Chordata; Mammalia; Primates; Hominidae. The record is from Rfam by way of RNAcentral.